CAGCCAAUCCUGCUCUGAUUCACCUCUGGGCUCCCUCAGGACCACUUUGUCAAUGUCCAGCUUCCUCAGUCUCCAACCAUGGGGAUCCCAGUGAUUAAUGCCAAAGCCCUGUUGCCUGGGGAGAGGGUGAUGCUUGACUUUCUUGUACAGCUGCAGUUUGUGUGGUGAAGGUGCUCCCACAAUGUGGUUGGGAUACUACAGGUGGACAUUCAGAUGGUAAUCUCAGUCAUUGUAACACUAAACUCUGAUUGAAUUAGUCAAUUCAUCAGGACCUGGAUAUUCGCAUUGUGUGGUGCUACAUGGUGAAGGUUUGCAGACUGAAAUCUCAAAAUCAUGUGCAGAUUGUGAUUAAGUUAACCAGCAUUUGAAGAACCAAAGAUAGAGAAUCACUUGGCCAAAAUCCAGCAACACUCUCCCUCCCAGCAUUGUCUGUCACUCUGCACCAAAUGGACUGUGAAUGGUUCAAGACAGCAGCUCACUCCCAUCUUCUCCAGGGUAACUAGAGAUGGGGAAUAAAUGCUGGCUGAGCCAGUGAUGCCCAUAUCCUGGAAAAGGGUUCUAUCUCUCGUUGCUGAAAUCCCGUUGAUGUUACUGCAGGAUGAAGAGGGAUGCUGAGUGUAUCCUCCAGGAGGCAGCACCAUCACAUUACCCCUGCCUCCACCCACACAGUAACACCGCAACGUCACUGGUACAAAAGGCAGUGAAACCAAAGGAGGACUUAGAUAUAGUUCUUCGAGGUAAAGUCAUGAAAGGGGAUUGGAACACAGCAGGAACAGGAGACUGGAUGGUCAGCUGUUUCCCAUUGAAUGGUGGAGCAGGAUUGAAAGGCUGAAUGGCCUUCUGCUGCUAUCUCCCAGGUAUGUAUAUAGCCAUGGAGCCCAGGUAGGAAGGAGUGGGCAGGGAUUCUCCAGGAGAUUGCACUUCCCCAACAGUUUUCAGUGAGGGAUGGUUUGAUGGAUUUUAUUUAACAUUUAUC
This is a long non-coding RNA of Hemiscyllium ocellatum (epaulette shark), 976 nucleotides long. RefSeq lists it as uncharacterized. NCBI's taxonomy places the organism in Eukaryota, Metazoa, Chordata, Chondrichthyes, Orectolobiformes, Hemiscylliidae. The transcript is spliced from 4 exons. The record is from RefSeq and is a predicted model, not a curated record.